RNAcentral lists this ribosomal RNA (253 nucleotides) under uncultured bacterium. Its description in RNAcentral is "partial 16S ribosomal RNA". It matches the Rfam family "Bacterial small subunit ribosomal RNA", at positions 524 to 776 of the family's 1533-position model. The record is from RNAcentral.
UACAGAGGGGGCAAGCGUUGUUCGGAAUUACUGGGCGUAAAGGGCUCGUAGGUGGCCAACUAAGUCAGACGUGAAAUCCCCAGGCUCAACUUGGGAACUGCGUCUGAUACUGGAUGGCUUGAAUCCGGGAGAGGGAUGCAGAAUUCCAGGUGUAGCGGUGAAAUGCGUAGAUAUCUGGAGGAAUACCGGUGGCGAAGGCGGCAUCCUGGACCGGGAUUGACACUGAGGAGCGAAAGCUAGGGGAGCAAACGGG